Long non-coding RNA from Hemicordylus capensis (graceful crag lizard), 1147 nucleotides. RefSeq lists it as uncharacterized. Lineage: Eukaryota; Metazoa; Chordata; Lepidosauria; Squamata; Cordylidae. The transcript is spliced from 3 exons. The record is from RefSeq and is a predicted model, not a curated record.
GGGCCGCGCCCACCCAAUCGGGAGCCCGCGGAAUAGCAGGCGGGAGGCAGUCAUGUGACACAGGCCGUCUUCCUGAGGGGAGGGGGCGCUGUCGCAGCGUCGAGCCGCGGCCCGCCGUGCCUUCGAGGCAGCAUCUCUGGAGCGCUCCCUCCUGGUAGGAGGAUAGGACUGCAGGCACAUAUCUCGCCCUCGGCAAGCACCACUCGGUGGGGUGGAAUUUGAACUCACGACCUUGGAAUGGUUCCCAAUUUCUUAAUCCUUGCCUUCCAGAAGUUGGAUGUGUGGAUAUUCGCUGCAAAAAAACCUUCAUCCUCUAAUGAGAUUGCUGCAAAUCUAGAUGUCAAAGGCACAAUAACGGGCCAAGUUGGUUUUUCUCUGAUCAGCUGGCAUGGCAACCCUACCAGGAUGAGGGAUCUUUAUGACGACGACAACAGAGUGAAUUCCAUGGAAAUCGCCUAAUUCGUCUGACUCUUAGAGUUAUUAAGGAAAUGCCCACUGGUUCCUCUUUCCAUUUACGAAAGAAGGAAGAGAUUAUGCUGGAGAGCCUCAUUUGCGAGAGAGCAGCCGGUCUCCCUUGGGGAGUUUUAUGGACAUUUCAGUGAUAAAUUAAAAGACGGGAGCUUUCAGGCUCAGUGCACGCAAGCCUUGUGUGUGUUUCAAGGGGCCCACAUGCUUUGGAGAACAAGCCAUUUGCACCACAGGAACCCCAACUCCAGUGGCUGGUUCUUGGGGUGUGGUGGGGGGUUGCGUUUGCCACUGGGUUUGAUUUCUCUCAGCCCAAGACCCGUUCCAUACGGCUCACCCAUGGGAGAUCUCCCUCCGAUGCUGCCCACGAUAAAGGAUGGUUUGCCAGGGCAGAAGUGGGGAAUUGCGGAAAUACUCUGGUGGCCUUGGCCGACAUUUGAGGAAGUCCAAUUGUAUAAUUGAGGCAAUCAAUCUCUUCUUCAACUCUGUAAGGUUGCUGACUGUACUGCUAAACUCAUUUCCAUCAUCGCUUGCCAAACCCAUUGUCCUCAUUAUUCUUCACCACUGCUUUACCCAUCUGAUGAUAGAUGCCAACAGCCUUCUUCUGUGACAGUGUUUUCUCUCUCUCUCUCUCUCUCUCUCUCUCUCUCUGUGAUGCAAAUUAAAGUUGCCUCCUUCAUAA